UAGUAAUUCACUUUGAUUGACUAUAUAAAUAGAAGAUUUAAGAGUAUCCGAACAUUUCUAUUUGGGCCAGUAUACCAUCAACCAGCCAUGGUACGCAGCGGGAUUUUAUUUUUCAUUAUUUUGUUAACUUUUGGCGGUCAAAUCAGAGACACUAAACAAGACAAUUCACAACCAGCUAAAGAUGAUAUACCGCAACGUUGCUUAGAGAAUAGUAUUUCGUCAGUUUCCUGCAGGAAUGUAAAUUCUGACGACGCUUUGCUAGCACAUCCCGAAGAUUGUAAUUUGUUUUACUACUGCGUCAGUCCCGAUCACGAGCCGAUUUGCCGACAAUGCCCAGCUCAACUUCACUUCAACCCUAAUAAACAUGUUUGCGAUGUGCCGGAACGUGCAGGAUGCAUUAUUCAAAUAUCAUCUAAGAAAUAAUAAAAUUUAAUAAAUAUUUGAGAAUAA
Vanessa tameamea is the source of this 450-nucleotide long non-coding RNA. RefSeq lists it as uncharacterized. Lineage: Eukaryota; Metazoa; Arthropoda; Insecta; Lepidoptera; Nymphalidae. The record is from RefSeq and is a predicted model, not a curated record. The transcript is spliced from 2 exons.